This 445-nucleotide ribosomal RNA is filed under the name uncultured bacterium. RNAcentral's name for it is "partial 16S ribosomal RNA". It matches the Rfam family "Bacterial small subunit ribosomal RNA", at positions 354 to 796 of the family's 1533-position model. The record is from RNAcentral.
GUGAGGAAUAUUGGUCAAUGGGCGAGAGCCUGAACCAGCCAAGUCGCGUGAAGGAAGAAGGAUCUAUGGUUCGUAAACUUCUUUUGCAGGGGAAUAAAGUGCAGGACGUGUCCUGUUUUGUAUGUACCCUGAGAAUAAGGAUCGGCUAACUCCGUGCCAGCAGCCGCGGUAAUACGGAGGAUCCGAGCGUUAUCCGGAUUUAUUGGGUUUAAAGGGUGCGUAGGUAGUUUGAUAAGUCAGCGGUGAAAGUUUGCAGCUUAACUGUAAAAAUGCCGUUGAAACUGUCGGACUUGAGUGUAAAUGAGGUAGGCGGAAUGCGUGGUGUAGCGGUGAAAUGCAUAGAUAUCACGCAGAACUCCGAUUGCGAAGGCAGCUUACUAAGCUACAACUGACACUGAAGCACGAAAGCGUGGGGAUCAAACAGGAUUAGAUACCCUGGUAGUCC